UUACAAUGGAGAGUUUGAUCCUGGCUCAGGAUGAACGCUAGCGGCAGGCCUAAUACAUGCAAGUCGAACGGGAUUGUUGACUUCGGUUGACAUGAGAGUGGCGCACGGGUGCGUAACGCGUAUGCAACCUACCUUAUACAGGGGGAUAGCCCGGGGAAACCCGGAUUAAUACCCCAUGGUAUAUAUUGAUCGCAUGGUUAGUAUAUUAAAGAUUUAUCGGUAUAAGACGGGCAUGCGUAGGAUUAGCUAGUUGGUAAGGUAACGGCUUACCAAGGCGAUGAUCCUUAGGGGUUCUGAGAGG
This is a ribosomal RNA of 301 nucleotides. It matches the Rfam family "Bacterial small subunit ribosomal RNA", at positions 1 to 299 of the family's 1533-position model.